Non-coding RNA from Sus scrofa (pig), 427 nucleotides. NCBI's taxonomy places the organism in Eukaryota, Metazoa, Chordata, Mammalia, Artiodactyla, Suidae. The record is from RefSeq and is a predicted model, not a curated record.
GUAGCAGGUGGGGGUGCAAAUUGGUGCCCUUUUGGAAACAGGUUUGGAGUGAGCUCCUACAGCGCCUGGGAACCAGCCCCGUGCCUGUGGCCCAGAGAGUGGACGAGUCGACUAUGAAUAUUCGCCCAGUGGAACGUUACACAGCAGGCGAAAUGAACCGCCACAGCUCUGUGUGACACAACGGAGCUUAAUUAACAGCAUGGUCGUGAGAAAGAAGCCCCAGCUGCGUCUGUGCCCAGCCGGGCGGGGCUGCCGCCGCUUCGCUGCAGAGACCGUGGAUGCCCACCUGCCUCCCUGCCUCCCUGCCCCCACUGCAGCCCCAUUGGAGGGAAGCGGCUCCUCUCUUUGGAUAUUUCAGCAGCAGGUAAACAACAAAACAGACCGGCGAAAACGCUGGGGCCAACCUCCUGCAAUGAAAUAAAGUGGG